Molecule: long non-coding RNA, 298 nt
Organism: Odocoileus virginianus texanus
Lineage: Eukaryota; Metazoa; Chordata; Mammalia; Artiodactyla; Cervidae
Source: RefSeq, a predicted model, not a curated record
GCCACCAAAAUCCAAGUUCUCUUUUUUUCUAGACAACGGAAAACCAAGAUAUAUGCCGAGCUGCUAGGCUAUGUUGCUUCUUUCUGUUGUCUGAUUCCAGUUGCAGAAAAGCCAUGGGUAGCAGCAGCAAACAUUCUAGGGUAGAAGCAACACUACAGACCUGGAGGACCCAUAGAAGAGCAUGAGCAACUCCUCUGGCGGAACAACCCUAUGAAAGAGGAAACUGAAACACAGUGAGAUGAGAUGAGCAGUAUUCUCAAGAUCAUACAGCUAACAAGUGGCAGAAUAACAAUUCAAG